Molecule: long non-coding RNA, 5176 nt
Filed under: Sus scrofa (pig)
Lineage: Eukaryota; Metazoa; Chordata; Mammalia; Artiodactyla; Suidae
Description: lncRNA (ENSSSCG00050065390.1)
Source: RNAcentral
CUAUUCAUUUUAUACUUUCAGACAGAUUUUUCCCUGGGGUGAAACAAAGGUUAACUGAAAUUUCCUCUGUUGUAUACCUGAACGAAUCAGCAGUUUGAGAAGGAAAUCCCAUUGAUGGGCCAAGAGAGUGACAGGCUCUAUUUAAAGAAUUCCCCCGACUGUGUGGUAGACCAGCCAUGCCAUGAAUUUAACUGUUCCUGUGGUCCCCAUACUUGUACCCACCAAAAAAGAGAGAGAGAGAGAAAGCGACUUUGUUCUGCAAACGUAGCCCUAAGCUUUGAAAAUCACGAGCCAUUGAGUUUUGUGAAUUCAAGUUAGACAGCAACAGAGGCCAAGACUCUAGGGGAACAAUAUCUGAAAGGGAGUACACAAAACCAGGUAGAAACUGUUUAACUGUUUUAUUUCUCUGUGUGUAUACAGAUUUAUGUGUGUUUAUACACACACCCCAAAAAAACCUGUACCUUUUUCUCAUUUUUACGUAGCGCGUCCUAAUUAUAUUUAAGCGAUGAUGUUUGUUAAAUUUUGAAAUCUGUUAAUUUGGGGGGAGGGGGUUUAUAGCCUUUUUUGCUCCAUUAAAGUGUUUAGGUUUUAGUAGGACAUAUCAUAAGUUUUGGAAAUGAAAGUAAACACAGUAUAUGGUUAAAGGGUUUUUUGAAGAAAUUGGGCCUUUGCAUUACCUCUGUAGGAGCUUUACUGUCAGAGCCAGCUCAUGUAUUUUGUAUUUUUCCUGUUUAAGGGAAGCUGCUUUAAAUAUGAAAAGAUGGUAUCUUUAGUUGGAUUAAACACCCUUAAUUCAUGUGUAUUUAACCUCAGGACUUGUGAGCCUUGUUGAAAAUCCAGCUUUAACUCUGGCUAGUAGGCCUCAAUAGUGCACACAGCAUGGAGAUUAUAAAUAGUCAGUCUUUCUAAGGUGGAGGUUAGUGUGUAUUCCCAGAGGGCAUGAACUGUUUAUGUUUCUGAAAAUAUUUUCAUAUAUGUUGUUAAUAUUUAAAUAUUAAGAUUUAUUUUAAUACCUUCAUUUGUUACUUGAAGUUUUUGUUAUCAAAAGAUUCUUAAGUGUAUACUUCUCUAGUGUGGAUGGGAACUUAAUGGAAAUUUUGUAAAACACUAAGAUUCAUAGAGAAAAUAAUUCAGAGAGAUUGGUUUCUCUCUGAGAGUUAAAAGGAGCAGGUACCAUUUGAAUUGGUUCCUGGGGGCGGGGAAAGUAGGAAUUUAUAUAGUGGCUGUAUUCAUGCUCACAAAUGAGAAACUGAAGUCUAGAGAGUUAAAUUGAUUAGGACAAAAUUAUUCAGUAUGUUUUGGAAGAACCUAGGUCUCCAUUCAUGUCUGGUAUUUCCUUGCACAAUAAACUGCCUCUCUUUUAUCCUGCGAUGGGAAUUUUAAAAAACAUUUCUCUCUUGUCAGUUAUACCUCAGUAAAGCUGGGGGAAGAAUCAUUCUUUCCCAUUUUUUUUUUUCUGCUAUUUUCUAACAUUUUCUUGUCUUUUCCACUUUUUUCCAUUCCUUCUCUUUUCUUCUUCCUCUCUUAUUUUUCAAUAUUGGUCCUACUACAAAUAGGUUGUAGCAUUGUAAAUUAAGAGCAGGAUUUGGGGGAACAGCUCUGAACAGAUAUUCCGUGUGAUCUGUAAAGGUCACAUUGUUCUUUUUGGAUGUUACUUUUUAGAAACCAAAAUCAUUCGUAGCUAUUUAAGCAAUCUAUGAAUCAAUCAAAUACUCAUUAGUUAUGCUUAUGUAAGUAGAAGUACAUGCUAAUCAAUGCCAUGAAUAGAUGCCAGCUGAUUUUUAAAGAUCAAUAAAAACAAUUGACAUCUUUUUUAGGACAUCACUUGGUUCUUCCAGUUGCAUUCAUUAAAUAAUAUUUAUUGACCUUCUGCUAUGUGCCAAACAUCAUGCAAGGCAAUAGAGAUAUAACGGAGAAUAAGAAGGAAAUGCCCCCUUCAUGCCCCUUUAAUAGAUGAGAGUUGACCACGACUAGAAAGUUGAAACAUUAUUUCUCUAAAACUUCAUGGAGGACCAGCAUUGCUCUUCAGAUAUUCCUGUCAGAAUAUAAUCCUGUUUUGAUCCCCGGCCUGGCACGGUGAGCUAAGGAUCCAGCAGUUGUGGUGUAGGUUGCAGCUGCGGCUCUGAUUCAGUCCCUGGCCUGGGAACUUCCAUGUGCUGUGGAUGAGGCCAAAAAAAAGAAUAAAAAGUGGAAAAGUAUAAUUUGAAAUUCAAUAAGUAGUUUUCACAUUAUCAAUUGCCAUGUGCUACAUGAUAAAAUGAUAAUAUUGUGGAGAUUUUCAAUAACAACUUUAUUAUUAGACAAAGCCAGAGACUAUUCAUCAAAAUAACUUAGGAAGAUGAAAAGAGCAUGUUGGUUAAGAGCAUGGUUUGGAAGUGAGCCUCCAGUCUGCCACUUAUAAAUGUUGUGGCACUAAACAAAUUAUUUAAACAUUCACAUAAAUCUCACCUUUUUUUCACUUGUGAAGUGAAAAUAAUAACUGCCUUUAUAGGAUUGUUGUGAGGGUUAAAUUAGAAAAAUGCGUAAAAUGCUUAACAUAGUACCUAGCACAGAAUAAGCUCUUUAUAUGUACUAGCUGUUAUUCUGUAUUUUUAUUUUUUGGCAUUGCUAGGCUUUUUAUUUAUUUUUUUUUAUUAUAGUUGAUUUACAUGUUCUGUCCAUUUUUACUGUGAAGUAACCCAGUUAUACAUACAUACAUAUUCUUUUUCUCACAUUAUCCCCCAACAUAUUCCAUCACAAGUGAUUAAAUAUAGUUCCCUGGGCUAUACAUCAGGAUCUCAUUGCUUCUCCACUUAUGUUGUGUAUUUUUAAAAUAUAAUCUGGGUUUUCUCGCUCUGGAGAGGUCUGCCAGUAGGAGUUUGAAGAGGAACAUUCUUUAUGUAUUAUGGAUGUUUUCUUCGUUGAAGAUACUGUACAUUAAAAUUUCCUCAAAACUCAAAGUGAACAUUUGUUCAAAAGUACUAUCAACUAGGAUGAGUUUUUUAAAUUUAUUUUCUUCUGAAUUUAAAGUUUUAUGUAAUACUUUUCUAAUCCUACAUAACAUCUUGCUUGUUCACUGGCAUUUUCAACUUUGAGUAAUAGUUGUUAUGGGUAUGUUGUACCUGUAGUUAUUAUAGGUACAUUGGUAAAUAUUUGCGUUUUGGGUUUAAAGACAAUUCUAUAAGUUGUCUGACAGUUGUCUUUCUGACAAUUGUCUUUUCAGAGCUAAAUUGAAACUUAAUUAAGUAUGGGAUGUGAUAUCCAAAUUCUCCUCUAUAUACUGUCACCUAGUCUCAUAAGGUAGAAGUUUUAAGGUAAUAGGGGUACCAAGUUAUAAAUGACUAUUUCUUUUGUAGACAGAAGGCUCAGUUUUCUGUGUUCACUGCAUCUGGUCUCUCUUCUCCAAUUCUCUUCAUUUCAGUAGAGUUUUUACCUCACUGCUUCAUUCAGACUUCUCUUAUGAUCACAAGGAACUUUGCUAGUGACAAGAGUCACUUCUCAGCCUUUAUCUCCCCUCACCUGUCAAUGGCAUUCCCCAUUAUUGACAACACCUCUUCUUUUACACAUUUUCUUCAAUUGGCUUAUGGGUCUUCAUCCCAACAAGCUUCCUCCCACCUCACUGCUUACUCCUUGCUUUUUUUCUCUUCUUUCCUUACACUCAAUCCCAUGGUAAAUAUCACCCAGUCCUGUUCUAGUCAUCAUCUCCAUGCCACAGUUGUCAGGUUUAUAUUUCUAGGUCAGAUCUGUCCCCUAAACAUAAGACUCAACACCUUCAUUUGAAUAUCUGAUAGAUAUCACAUAUGUAAUCUGUUCAAAACUAAAUUCAUCUUUCUACCAAAACAUCAUCUAUAGCUUGCAGUUGCAUCAACAGUAUCCUUUUAGUUGCUCAAGUCAAAAAACUGGGUGUCAUCCUGGACUCUGUUCUUAUAUUCAUAUGCAAUUAUCAGGAAAUGUUGUUAACUCUGCCUUAAAUGUUGUUAAUUCUGAAUAUUUCAGAAUUCCUUUGCCUCUUAGCAUAUCUACCACUGUCAUCCUGGUCAGAGAUAAUCAUCAUUUGUUGACUGAAUUAUUGCAGUAGCCACUUAAUUAGUCUCCCUGCUUCUUUACUUGCCCCUCCCCUCAUUUUUCAAUCUCAGUAGAGUGAUUCUUUGUCAGUCAAUUCAUGCUACUCCUGUCUCUGUUUAAAAUCCUCCAUUGACUUCCAGUGUCACCCAAAAUAAAAGCAAGUAUUCUUAUAAGGCCUAUAAGGCCCUUCAUAAACUGGCAAUCCUAUACUUCUUGGACUUCACCUCCCCCUCCUUUACACUGUUCUAACCACAGUGACCCCUUGCUUUUCAUCAAACACACCAAGACUAUUCUUACUUUAAGGGCUUCUCAUUGUUCUACUUCCUGGGAUUUCCUGGAACUGCAUGGCUAACUCCCCAGUCUUUGUUUUUGCUUAAGGAGUUCCCUGGUGCUCAGUGAGUUAAGGAUCCUGCCUUGACACUGCUGUGGCAUAGAUUUGAUCCCUGGCCCCGGAACUUCCUCGUCAUGGCGCAGCACCCUCUCCCCCCAAAACAGUUUUUGCUUAAUAUCAAUGAAGUCUACUCUGUCCACCCUAUAGAAAAUUGUAAUUCAUACCCAACACUACCAAUUCCUAUUACCAUGUUUGACUUUUUCUUUUUUCAAAAACAUGUAUUACCAAUAACAUAGAUAAUUUACUUAUUUAUUAUAUUUGUUGUUUACCCUAGAGAGACACUAGAAUGUAAAUUUUACAAGGGCAGCAAUCUCUAUUUUGUUAUGUAGCCCAAGGACCUAGAAUGUUGUCUGGGAUAUGGUAGUAGCUAGUAAAUAUUUAUGGAAUGAGUAAUAAUGAUAAUAAUGUUUAGUUUAAUCCUCAGUAUACCGUCAGGUUCAUUAGAUCCAACUUUAGAUUUCUUUUGUAAGCAUUUCUAACUAGUUCUUGGAAUUUAUAUUUCAUGACUUUUAUUCUUUCUUAGAAAUCUUCCAAAGAACUCAGAGAAAAUUUACUUAAUAGAAUAAAACUCAUUGUAUCUCAGAAUUACUAUACGGGUCCAUUAAAUCCUUUUAUAAAUCUAAGAUAUAUCAUGGGAUCUUAGUGAUCUUAUUUUUACCAUAUCUUAAAACAUUUUACUAUUUCAUCAUCCUAAGAAUAAUUUUAUCAUUACUCAUCAAUUAUUCUAACUUCACUAAAAAA